GGAAGUAAAAGUCUUAACAAGGUUUCCGUAGGUGAACCUGCGGAAGGAUCAUUAGUGAAUUUUAGGGCGUCUACUUGUAGAGCCUGACCUCCACUUUCUAACUCUGUGCACUUAUUUGGCGGAAAAAGGGAAUAGUGAUUGUUUAACGACGAUUGCGAAUUCCUUAUUCUGCGGCUUACUUUAAACACUAGUCAAAGUAUGUAACGAAAUAUCGAAAUACAAAAAAACUUUCAACAACGGAUCUCUUGGCUCUC
This 254-nucleotide unclassified non-coding RNA is filed under the name plant metagenome. RNAcentral describes it as "partial contains small subunit ribosomal RNA, internal transcribed spacer 1, and 5.8S ribosomal RNA". The stretch from base 1 to 54 matches the Rfam family "Eukaryotic small subunit ribosomal RNA", at positions 1778 to 1831 of the family's 1831-position model. The record is from RNAcentral.